Molecule: long non-coding RNA, 1330 nt
Organism: Oreochromis aureus
Lineage: Eukaryota; Metazoa; Chordata; Actinopteri; Cichliformes; Cichlidae
Source: Ensembl
UUCCCUGAUGGCUCUGACUUCUGUUGAAGCAUCAGCCUGACGGCUGUAGUCGGGCACAUCUUCCUGUUCAUUUUCAUUGUCUCGCUCUCUUUCUUGUUCAACAAGUGGCAACCUUACAAGAUCUGAUUCAGGUGCCAGAUUACACCAUUCGUCAGUCACACCUCUGUUCUGCUCAUAUUCCUCAACAGCGCUCUCGAUCUCCUCGCUGUUUUUCUCAUAUUUCUCUCUGUUUCUUUUGACAAUGUGUUGCACGUACUCAAGACGGUCAGUACCUGGUAGCUGUACACAGCCAGCACCAUAGAAAGCCUGAUAGGUUGGCAACGAUGGUGUUUUCAGUUCGUGGUCUGAACGAUGAGGAAGGUACAGUUUAAGCAGUCUUCCAUAAUAUUUCUCCGGAUGUUUUUCUUGUGAGCAGCGGUGAAAUCUGAUGACAGCAGGCUUAUCAUUUUGCGCCUCUGCACAAAUCCCAUCUCAUUGAGAAGGGCAAAACAUCUUUACCUUUUGUCUGUUGGCCAUAGACAAUCCUGCAAGUAGCAGCAAAGUCUGCCAUGCACAUCUCCUCAUACUCUGGUGUUUCAGGUCUGGCUUUGUAUUUGUCAUUCAAAGAUGUCAUCCAAACAUUGGAAGACUCAGGUGUUGUGUUGUCCAGAACUGACAGGGGACGACUCAUUUUCACAGGAUUAUCAUCAGUUGGUAUGAAUAUUACAGCACGUGAACAUUGCUUCAUGUGAAGACCACAUGCACGAGCAACACACUCCUGUGCACUGAUCUCUCGCUUCUUUGAAUAUGCCUGCAUGACGGCUCUCAUUUCAUCACACUCAUUUACACUGUCCUUCUGGGAGCUCUCAAUGACAGUUUUCAGGUACUCAGACAGCCCGCCCUCUUUUUUUGAUAUAUAUUUCAUUAAAUAAUUUGCAGCGCCGAAAGCAUCUAAAACAAAGCUUAUGUCGAUAUUACUGUUCCAGGCUUCAAGCAGAUGUGGAUUAUAGCCAUUUAUCCAAGAGUCUUUUGGAUCACGCUUUAGUAUGAUCGUACUCCUUGUGUUCAUUUUAUUCAGGUAUCGCUCAUAUUCUGCAUGUGUCAACUUGCAUCUUGCCAAGAGCUGCUCUAAACUCAUGGAAGCAGUUUCAGGCUCAUUCAGCAGCUGGUUCAGUGGUCUGAGCUUGUUCUUUGCUGUUUCUACUUCCAGUUCAUCAUCCUCACUGGGUCUUGUGAUCAUUGUCUCAUUGCAGGGUGGUUUGGGAAAACCAAAACGGCACCCGGAGCUUAAACUCCUAAAGCACGUCUUUGUGUGGUUCUUACUGUGUUUUUGCACUUCUGUUACUUUCUU